CUGAAAAAGUGGGCAGGGACACGUUCGAUACACAAAAAUAGAAGAAAAUGGGAUUCACAAAGUGGACGACGAAGAGCGGAAGGAGACGUCAUUCGCCUGGGAAUUCAAUUCGUUUUAUCAUUUUUGCGCAAUUCCC
Caenorhabditis elegans is the source of this 136-nucleotide non-coding RNA. The record is from Ensembl. Lineage: Eukaryota; Metazoa; Nematoda; Chromadorea; Rhabditida; Rhabditidae.